This 3981-nucleotide long non-coding RNA is filed under the name Homo sapiens (human). RNAcentral describes it as "HSALNT0299536". The record is from RNAcentral. Lineage: Eukaryota; Metazoa; Chordata; Mammalia; Primates; Hominidae.
GGCCUGAUUCCUUUACAUCAUUCAAAGGGUAUUGUGACGCACACUGGCUUGCAAGGUUUUGCCAGGCAAUGCCUUUCAGGUCCUGGGCUUAGAAAAAGAGUGCUCCUUUGGUCUCUAGGGAGAGACCAGCUGCACAUGAAAGAAGGGGCAAAAAUUACUGUGAAAAGGAAAAUCAUGUAGGCAAAUAACCAGGCUAUCUAAUCACUAGAGCUUGCUUUCCUGUAAAGAUUGUCCCAAGGACAACGUAAGGUGAAAAUCUGGGUGGUGCCACACUGAGGAGUCCUGCCCUUUGCAAGCUGGAAUUGAGGAAGGAUGGUUUGGCACGAGGGGCAGAUGAGGCCAGCCCCGCCUUGUCCAAGGUUAGGUCAGGCUCCAACCUGCUCCUUUGCAGGUAUCAAAGGAUAAUUUUAAUUAUUUAAAAAUAUGCUGCAAACCAAUCCAUGGAGUAUCACAACAGCACCACUAUAUAGAAGCAAGCCAUAACCUGAGAAGAAGAGAGUGGCAAAAAUAUUUAUUCUGACCAACCUCUGUCAAAACCAAACCAAACCAAAACGAAACACUGGCAUUUUUUUUUCUUUUUUUUUUUUUGUGAUGGAGUCUCUGUUGCCCAGGCUGGAGUACAGUGCCACAAUCUCGGCUCACUGCAAGCUCUGCCUCCCGGAUUCAAGCGAUUCCCCUGCCUCAGCCUCCUGAGUAGCUGGGACUACAGGCGCGUGCCACCACGCCCGGCUAAGUUUCUGUAUAUUAGUAGAGACGGGGUUUCACCACGGCCAGGAUGGUCUCGAUCUCCUGACCUCAUGAUCCUCCCGCCUCGGCCUCCCAAAGUGCUGGGAUUACAGGCGUGAGCCACCACACCCAGCCAACACUGGCAUUAUCUACAGUAGGUUGUCCUGGAAACAGGGACACUUCUCACUUAUAUACAGUUUGCAGGUUAGAAUGUAAAAUAUUUCCAUAAGAUUCCAGAAGGCACUCAGGAGAGACCAGGGGCCAGGCUGGGUUCCUGCUGGGAGCUUAACCUACAUGGAACAGGCAUAAAAUAAUGUAAUGACAGAGUCUUGGUGACAGCAUUUUGUUGAAAGCAGAUAAGCUAGGGAAAACUUAAAUAAAUAUAUGAGGACAGAAGCAACAAACUGGAACCACACUAAGAGAAAGGAUAAAUUGGUUUGAUUUGUUGAGUGAGCACCACACGUUUUUUUAGCUAUUAGACACACACCAUCUAGAAUCUCCACCACCACCAUGGAAGGAGAUUCUCUUUUGAAAAUGAAGUAUUUCUAUUUGAAAUGAAGGCUAAGAGAAGAAGCUACGGAACUUGCCUAACAGUCACACAACGAGGCCGUAAUGAAUCUAUGAUUUGAAUCCAGCUAUUUGACGUCAAAGGCGUUUUAAGAGUAAUAACCAGUAUUCUUCACUGAGGAAAAAAAAUGAACAAAAAAUCCCCAUGUUCUUUACGUAAGACAUACCUGGCAAUAUAACAGAAAGUACAAAGAAGAAAGUUUCACUCGCGUUCGUGUGAAGAGACAACCAAACAGGCUUUGUGUGAGCGAUAAAGCUUUUUAAUCAGCUGGGUGCAGGCCGUCUGAGUCCGAAAAGAGAGUCAGCAAAGGGGAGAUAGGGGUGAGGCCGUUUUAUAAGAUUUGGGUAGGUAAAGGAAAAUUACAGUCAAAGGGGGGUUGUUCUCUGGCGGGCAGGAGUGGGGGUGACAAGGUGCUCCGUGGGGGAGCUUUUUGAGCCAGGAUGAGCCAGGAGGAGGAAUUUCACAAGGUAAUGUCAUCGGUUAAGGCAAGGACCGGCCAUUUUCACUUCUUUUGUAGUGGAAUGUCAUCAGUUAAGGCAGGAACAGGCCAUUUAAAUUUCACUUCCUCUGUGAUUCUUCAGUUACUUCAGGCCAUCUGGAUAUAUACGUGCAGGUCACACCAGCAGGCUAUCAGUAAAGUCCUCCUUACCGGUGGGAGGUGGAGUAGGGCUAGCCCCUGGCAUUCUGUAGGGAAGCAAGUGUUAAAACUUUCACUUAAGCCGGGCGUGGUGGCUCACGCCUGUAAUCCCAGCACUUUGGGAGGUCAAGGCGGGCGGAUCACCUGAGGUCGGGAGUUCGAGACCAGCCCGGCCAACAUGGUGAAACCCCCGUCUCUACUAAAAAUACAGAAUUAGCCGGGCGUGGUGGCGCAUGCCUGUAAUCCCAGCUACUCGGAAGGCUGAGGCAGGAGAAUCGCUUGAAUCCGGGAGGCAGAGCUUGCAGUGAGCCGAGAUCGAGCCAUUGCACUCCAGCCUGGGCAACAAGAGCAAAACUCCGUUUCAAAAAAAAAAAAAAAAAAGUUUCACUUACAGCACAAAAGGACAGAGUAGGAGGAGGAGGAAGCAACUGGCAGGUGCAGUUUCUCAGGCAUUUGAGAGGUUGGAGAAGUCAUUAUGAGAGUAAUGAAACUGGCUGGUUCCUGAUGAGUACAAUCUAUGCUUUGCAGUAAGACGGUAAACAUCAUCAUUAAUUUAGGCAAAGUGUGAAAGCAGGGCUCCCCCUUUGCAGCAUACAGAGGGGCUCUCAUUUCCUGCAGCAGGGGGGCAGGAAAAGAUGAGAAUUAGACUAAGGAUUUAAAUAUAAGGGUAGUGGGGCCCCCGAGAAGAACCUGGCAAAUCUGCUCUGCCAACAUCAUGGCUGAGUUUGGAAAGGAUUGGUGACCUCAGAUUUGGUUGAGGACAAAGAGGUCAAUGCACUUGACGGCUUGCAAACUCAGAUUCCUCUCUGUCCGGGGUUAUUAUUCCUCCCUGGCUUGACGGCUUGAAGAUAAUGCAGGGGUCGUCUCACCACCGCUUCAGGAUUUACCAUUUCCUCUGCUGGCCGCCAGACGAUAAUUAGAUGGAGCAGCAACAUGACCCGCAGGGGAAGUGCCUGACCCACUAAGAGAGGAAAGAAAUGAUGAGUCAAAGAAAAAUAAUCUGAAUUUCAGUCAGAAGGAAAGAUUAGACAAAUUCAAACAUUCUACAGCAUAACUGGCCUGGACUCUUUAAAAAUGAUAAAGUCAAAAAAGAUACCAGAAGGCUGAGAAACUCUUCUAGAUUAAAAGAGAACAAGAGAUAUGACAAAGAAAAGCAAUCCGUCCUCUUGGGCUGGGUCCUGGCCCAGACUGGGAAGUCCCCUGCCGCAGAGCCCGAUGCACUUUCUGGAGGCCCUCUUGAGGACCAAGGUCCUAUUCCCCAGCUGAAAGCUUUGCCUGCUCCUAGAUCAUAGUUCACUUAUGUGCCAAGAAUUGGCAUUACCCAAGAUUACACACCCUUCCUGGGGUAGCCCAUGUCCAAAGAUUGAUUAACACGGGGAUACAAAAGUCCAGCCUUCUUGCUUGAAUUUGGGACAUCUCUGGAGUUCCAUUCUAGUUUCAGAGCUUUCCGUGGCAUUGGCUGACGCAUCUGAAGUAAGUGACUCAUAGUUCAGCUUCUCCCUUUGCCAAAUCCUGUUUUCUUCACUCCCUUCCACGUGUUGCUACACAAGCACGCCCCGAUAGACCACUUCCCAACAGACUGCUUCAUGAAAAUUUCCAUCUCAGAGUGUGGAGCCCAGGAAACCCUGUCUAAGAGACCAACUCAAGGCCAAAGGACCUCCCCCUUCAAAAGAACUGCAACCCUGCCGUUUUCCAUCUGUCUCCGGUCAAAUGUUGCGAUGUUUACACUGGAGCAGCACCACAUAGGAUGGCAGGCAAGUACAGUGAUGUCUCUGGGCCUCCUAGGAGGCUGUGGAAGUUAGGUGCAGUUUUUCUUAUGAUGACCAUUUGGACUCUGGCGCCUUGAUACGGUGUCAUCAAUAAGUAGCAAGAUCCUGGAGAGAAACACCUGAAAUGGAAGCCGGAACGUAGACCACAGUCAAAAUUAAGUUUAUGGAAAAUAAAGAAAUGUAAAAAAAAGUUAUUUAUGUAAGUUUUGGAACAAGAUUGAUACUUGCUACGUAACUUCCAUUUGUGGAGCCCUUAUUGCAAGCCUGACAUGUUGCUGAAG